Molecule: ribosomal RNA, 530 nt
Filed under: uncultured bacterium
Lineage: Bacteria
Description: partial 16S ribosomal RNA
Rfam family: Bacterial small subunit ribosomal RNA
Source: RNAcentral
UGGGGAAUUUUGGACAAUGGGCGAAAGCCUGAUCCAGCAAUGCCGCGUGUGUGAAGAAGGCCUUCGGGUUGUAAAGCACUUUUGUCCGGAAAGAAAUCCUUGGCUCUAAUACAGUCGGGGGAUGACGGUACCGGAAGAAUAAGCACCGGCUAACUACGUGCCAGCAGCCGCGGUAAUACGUAGGGUGCAAGCGUUAAUCGGAAUUACUGGGCGUAAAGCGUGCGCAGGCGGUUUGCUAAGACCGAUGUGAAAUCCCCGGGCUCAACCUGGGAACUGCAUUGGUGACCGGCAGGCUAGAGUAUGGCAGAGGGGGGUAGAAUUCCACGUGUAGCAGUGAAAUGCGUAGAGAUGUGGAGGAAUACCGAUGGCGAAGGCAGCCCCCUGGGCCAAUACUGACGCUCAUGCACGAAAGCGUGGGGAGCAAACAGGAUUAGAUACCCUGGUAGUCCACGCCCUAAACGAUGUCAACUAGUUGUUGGGGAUUCAUUUCCUUAGUAACGUAGCUAACGCGUGAAGUUGACCGCCUGGGG